AUUGAACGCUGGCGGCAGGCCUAACACAUGCAAGUCGAACGGUAACAGGGAUCAGCUUGCUGAUUCGCUGACGAGUGGCGGACGGGUGAGUAAUGUCUGGGAAACUGCCUGAUGGAGGGGGAUAACUACUGGAAACGGUAGCUAAUACCGCAUAACGUCGCAAGACCAAAGAGGGGGACCUUCGGGCCUCUUGCCAUCGGAUGUGCCCAGAUGGGAUUAGCUAGUAGGUGGGGUAACGGCUCACCUAGGCGACGAUCCCUAGCUGGUCUGAGAGGAUGACCAGCCACACUGGAACUGAGACACGGUCCAGACUCCUACGGGAGGCGGCAGUGGGGAAUAUUGCACAAUGGGCGCAAGCCUGAUGCAGCCAUGCCGCGUGUAUGAAGAAGGCCUUCGGGUUGUAAAGUACUUUCAGCGGGGAGGAAGGGAGUAAAGUUAAUACCUUUGCUCAUUGACGUUACCCGCAGAAGAAGCACCGGCUAACUCCGUG
Molecule: ribosomal RNA, 490 nt
Filed under: uncultured bacterium
Lineage: Bacteria
Description: partial 16S ribosomal RNA
Rfam family: Bacterial small subunit ribosomal RNA
Source: RNAcentral